AAUAACAAAAUAUGCAUACUAAGACAGUGGGUGAGUUUCUCAUAAGUCCCACCGAGGUGCGAGUACUUUAUAGUUUUUAAAACUAAGGUCUCUCCUCGUCUUGGAGAGGCCUUUUUGUUAGGAUUU
This is a regulatory RNA element of Proteiniclasticum ruminis, 126 nucleotides long. It matches the Rfam family "Ribosomal protein L10 leader". From Rfam's summary of the family: This family is a putative r-protein leader autoregulatory structure found in B. subtilis and other low-GC Gram-positive bacteria. It is located in the 5' untranslated regions of mRNAs encoding ribosomal proteins L10 and L12 (rplJ-rplL). A Rho-independent transcription terminator structure that is probably involved in regulation is included at the 3' end. NCBI's taxonomy places the organism in Bacteria, Bacillati, Bacillota, Clostridia, Eubacteriales, Clostridiaceae. The record is from Rfam.